Long non-coding RNA from Oncorhynchus tshawytscha (Chinook salmon), 1110 nucleotides. NCBI's taxonomy places the organism in Eukaryota, Metazoa, Chordata, Actinopteri, Salmoniformes, Salmonidae. The record is from Ensembl.
CUGAAAUAUAACACAACAGUUCGACAUAGUUUAUUAAUUCUGAAAAAUAUGAAUAACAUUCCACCUAUGAGGCCACUAGAGGGCGAUCGACAGCAGGAAAGGGAUGUAUACAAUGACUUUUAUAUGACUUAAAUUACUUUCUAAACCAGAAAGAAAUAUAUGCUAUGAACAGGAGGUAGGAAAUCAGGUUUAAAUGUAAAGGCUUAAAUCUAUUACCUGUAAUAGUGAGUCAGAAAAUAUCUGUAUGACUAAGCUAUUGGAUCUGAUGCAACUGAAAGUUCGAGACUUUGAAAUUUAUAGGGAGAAAAAUCUUCUCUCUGCUUUGAUAGGAAUAUUUUCUGAGGGCACUUUACAAUGUCACCAGUGAGUUGUGCUAUUUUGAGUAUGCUCUGUCUGUGCUGUAAACUGCUCUAACAAGUUUCCCUAUUGCAAUGAUGCAACUUUGAAUGAGAUUAACACACAUGUAGCAUAACCAGAUUGACUUGUUAGUCAUGUUCCUAACUUAAAGCAAUAGGCAUAAUAUUUAAAAUUGUUUUCUAUAAAUCUCUGCAAUCACCACCCCUCAGCUAGUAGUGUGACAGCUUCACAAUUCCUGUGGACAUGUCUGCCUGUAUCUAAUACAUGGGUCUGUAUCCAACACGACGCCAGACGGUUACUCUUCGGAACAUGAUGCCUGCAGCAGCUUUGUGCAACCAGAGAGAGGCAGAGAGUCAGCAGACACACACACACACACACCCGCACACGCACACACGCACACACACACACACACACACACACACACACACACACACACACACACACACACACACACACACACACACACACACACACACACACACACACACACACACACAGAGAGUCUGUCUUUUCAGGAGCAAGUGUCAAUGCAGGAACGCUCCAGGCCUUCUGAGAAUAUGUGUGCUCAUUAUGUUACGAUAUGGCAACAUUAUCAGAUGUGGAGAGAUGGUGGGCAGGAUUACGUUUCUGCUCAGCUGCUUUAUCUGUAGCAGGAGCCGGGGAAGAUUCUGGCACUCUCAAAGAUUCUGAGAGAGAGAGAGAGAGAGAGAGAGAGAGAGAGAGAGAGAGAGAGAGAGAGACAGAGAGAGAGAG